GCGCUGCUCUACCGCGGCGAACGUGCCGCCCGGGCGCUGCUGACGCUCGCGGCCGACAUCCGCGCCUGGGCGCGACGCAUCGCUGCGCGCGCCGCCGCGCUGCCCCCGACCGCUCUUCCGGUCCCGCUCCUGGCCGAGACGAUCGGCUGGAUCGUCCGCCCCGCGGCGCAUGUCGGGGAUGAUCGGCGCCGCGGCCCGCCCCUGACUCUCGCGCUCUGAUCCCUGUCCCGCCCGUGACGCGAAGUCCGGGCGGGGAUCCGCGUGCGCGCCGACGCGUCGUCCACCCGGACGUCUCUGCAUCGGCGUGCGAUCGAUCGGUGGUGUGCUGUGUCGUCGUCCCGUUUUCAUCUGCGAGCUGCCCUUCUCGCCGCGACCCUGGCGGCCGCGGCCGUACUCGUGCCCGCUGCGCCGGCCGCGGCUCACGACGAGCUGCUGGCGAGUAGUCCGAGCCCCGGCGCGGCACUCGACAGCGCGCCGACGGAGGUGACGCUCACCUUCUCGGCCGACGUGCUGACGAUCGGCGCGGCCGUCAUCGUCGCCGACGGCGCGGGGAAGGACUGGGCAGCGGCCGCACCCGCCGUCGACAACGGCGUGGUGUCGGUACCGCUCGUUCCGGCGCUUCCCGCCGGCGGAUACGAGAUCCGCUGGCGCGUCGUCUCGCAGGACGGCCAUCCGAUCAGCGGAGUCGUCCCGUUCACGAUCGGAGGCGCGGCGCCGCUGACGCGGACACCCGUCGCCACGCCGGCGACACGCGCAGCAUCGGACGCCGCCACCGCCGACACCACCCCACAGGACCAGAGCGCACGAGAGGACCAGGGGAUCAUCCGCAUCCUCCUGGUCGGCGCGGGCGGGGCGAUCAUCGCCGUCGCCGCCCACGCCGCCUUCCAUCUCCUCCGCCGUAAGAAAGGCACUUCACAGUGAGCAUCCACACCACCACCCGCACCCGCCUGACCGUCGCCGCGCGCGCCGGCGCUCUGCUGAGCGUCGGCCUGCUGGCGCUCGCCGGGUGCGCCACCACGACCCCGUCGGCGGGAUCAACCCCCUCGACGUCGGCGAGCGCCGCCGACACCAGCGGCGCCGCCGUGACGAUCUCCGACGCGUGGGUCAAGGCGGCCGACUCCGGCAUGUCCGCCGCCUUCGGCACUCUCCACAACGACUCGAAGACGGACAUCACUCUCGUGUCGGCGACCUCGCCGGCAUCGUCCAUGCUGCAGCUGCACGAGACCGUCGCCGAUGCGUCGGGCGCCAUGGUCAUGAAGGAGAAGAGCGGCGGGAACCAGCCGUGGAGGCUACACGAGUGAGAAUGCAGGCAUGAGUAGCGAAAGACGUGUGAGAAACACGUCCUCCGAAAGACCAAGGGUUCCAGGGUCAAGCUAAUCUUCCCUGGGUAAGUCGGGACCUAAGGCGAGGCCGACAGGCGUAGUCGAUGGACAACGGGUUGAUAUUCCCGUACCGGCGAAGAACCGCCCAAGCUAAUCCAGUGGUGCUAAGUGCCCGAAUCCUGUCGUAUCGAUCCCUUCGGGGUGAGAGCUUCAGGGCUAGCGCAUGACCCCAUGCUGGUGCGGUUAGCGUAUUAACAGGUGUGACGCAGGAAGGUAGCCCAAGCCAGGCGAUGGUUGUCCUGGUGCAAGUGCGUAGGCCGAGUCAUAGGCAAAUCCGUGACUCGUUACGGCUGAGACACGAUGCGGAUAAAAAGUGGGUGAUCCUAUGCUGCCAAGAAAAGCAUCGACGCGAGGUUCUAGCUGCCCGUACCCCAAACCGACUCAGGUGGUCAGGUAGAGAAUACCAAGGAGAUCGAGAGAAUCGUGGUUAAGGAACUCGGCAAAAUGCCCCCGUAACUUCGGGAGAAGGGGGGCCAUCCACUUAUAUGAGCUUGCCUCAAAAAGGGUGUGGUGGCCGCAGAGACUAGUGGGUAGCGACUGUUUAUUAAAAACACAGGUCCGUGCCAAGUCGCAAGACGAUGUAUACGGACUGACGCCUGCCCGGUGCUGGAAGGUUAAGAGGACCGGUUAGCCGCAAGGCGAAGCUGAGAAUUUAAGCCCCAGUAAACGGCGGUGGUAACUAUAACCAUCCUAAGGUAGCGAAAUUCCUUGUCGGGUAAGUUCCGACCUGCACGAAUGGCGUAACGACUUCCCAACUGUCUCAACCGCGAACUCGGCGAAAUUGCACUACGAGUAAAGAUGCUCGUUACGCGCAGCAGGACGGAAAGACCCCGUGACCUUUACUACAGCUUGGUAUUGGUGUUCGGUGUGGCUUGUGUAGGAUAGGUGGGAGACUGUGAAGCGGUGACGCUAGUUACCGUGGAGUCAUUGUUGAAAUACCACUCUGGUCACUCUGGAUAUCUAACUUCGAACCGUAAUCCGGUUCAGGGACAGUGCCUGGUGGGUAGUUUAACUGGGGCGGUUGCCUCCCAAAAAGUAACGGAGGCGCCCAAAGGUUCCCUCAACCUGGUUGGCAAUCAGGUGGCGAGUGUAAGUGCACAAGGGAGCUUGACUGUGAGACUGACAGGUCGAGCAGGGACGAAAGUCGGGACUAGUGAUCCGGCAGUGGCUUGUGGAAGCGCUGUCGCUCAACGGAUAAAAGGUACCUCGGGGAUAACAGGCUGAUCUUGCCCAAGAGUCCAUAUCGACGGCAUGGUUUGGCACCUCGAUGUCGGCUCGUCGCAUCCUGGGGCUGGAGUAGGUCCCAAGGGUUGGGCUGUUCGCCCAUUAAAGCGGUACGCGAGCUGGGUUUAGAACGUCGUGAGACAGUUCGGUCCCUAUCCGCUGCGCGCGUAGGAAAUUUGAGAGGAUCUGACCCUAGUACGAGAGGACCGGGUUGGACGAACCUCUGGUGUGCCAGUUGUUCCGCCAGGAGCACCGCUGGUUAGCUACGUUCGGGAUGGAUAACCGCUGAAAGCAUCUAAGCGGGAAGCCGGCCUCAAGAUGAGAUUUCCAUACCUUCGGGUGAGAGGCUCCCAGCCAGACUACUGGGUUGAUAGGCCGGAUGUGGAAGCGUGGCAACACGUGAAGCUGACCGGUACUAAUAAGCCGAUGACUUGAUAAC
This 3045-nucleotide ribosomal RNA is filed under the name Microbacterium sp. B24. RNAcentral's name for it is "bacterial LSU rRNA". The stretch from base 1103 to 3044 matches the Rfam family "Bacterial large subunit ribosomal RNA". Lineage: Bacteria; Bacillati; Actinomycetota; Actinomycetes; Micrococcales; Microbacteriaceae. The record is from RNAcentral.